RNAcentral lists this long non-coding RNA (2919 nucleotides) under Homo sapiens (human). RNAcentral describes it as "HSALNT0299069". Lineage: Eukaryota; Metazoa; Chordata; Mammalia; Primates; Hominidae. The record is from RNAcentral.
UCCAGUUAUCCGGAUCUGUGCAUUGCUAAAUCCAGGGGUCAGUGUCCCAGUCUUGAUGACUGCUGCCUCCUCAAAAGACUUCCUUCUCUGGGCCUCUAGGACACCUGCUCUUUUGGUCUCUGCCAUUGUGAAGUGUAUAUUUGGUCUUUGGCCUACUUCCUGGUAUAUGAAUCCUAAAAUCCCUGGAGUCUCCAAAGUGAUAUCUUUUUGUAUGCUCAUGAGUUGACUAAUGGCUGGCGGCCCCUAGGUAGCUUCAGGAUGGGUGCUGGUCACCUGAAAGACCACGGCAGGAUUAGAUGGGUGAUUCAGCCCCACCCCAACCUGGGCUUUCCAUAGGCAUUGGAAACAGGGGGCAGGCUUGUGGACACAGCCCUCAACCUGAGGGAUCUGAUGCUACCUCUAGGUAUUCAUCAUCAGAAUGGAGUUGGAUUGGAGGACAACGUGCUGAUAACUACUGCAGAAUUGAUUGCAUGCUUGCUGGUAGGAAGAAAUCCUCACAUAUUGGGUCACAGAAGUCUUCUGUGUUGAUUAUUUUUGAGUAAGAGAAUAGACAAAACACUUCAAGUGUGUUUUUUCACACUCGGUGUCUCCUAUAAUACUUGAUGGGCUACUCCUUCUCAGCCUCAGUCUCAUUUGCGGGUUUCCUUCCUCUUUCUAGUUUCCAAAAACUAGCUUCUUAGGAGGUCUUUGAUCUUUCCGUGUUCACCCCCUAUCCCACAGCUUUAAAGACAUCUACAGGAGGAAGACUUUCAUACUAAUAUCUAGACCUGCCUUCCAAAUUGCAUGCUCACACACUUAACAUCUCCUCUGACAUUCUAUAGGCUCUCAAAUUUUGCAUAUCCAGAGCCGAACUCUCCAUUUUUACCACAGACGUGUUCUUUGCACAGUCCUUCACAUCUCAGUUCUCAUAUCAACCUCAUUCUUUCUAGUUGCUCAUGUAAAAAAGGAAAAAUUCUAGAGUCCAUAUUCUACAUCCCAACCAUCAGCAAAUCCUUUCCAUUCUGCUUCAAGAUCUACCCAGAAUCCAGUCGCUCCCACUCCCUCUGGCCUGCAUUGCUGCAGUGGACUUUCAACCAGUCUCCCUGAGUCCAUCCUUGUCCCUACCCACUCCACUCCUGAGAGUGGCUCUUGUUCUCAGCCAACGCUAGCUGGAGAGCUGGGGUAAGUUAUGGCUGGAUUUAAUGAGGGUGACACAGGGAAAUGGAAGGAACACUGUCCCCACGAAUUCCUGACUGCUAGACCAAAAGGAAAGCCACUUCCAUGGUGACAUUUCCUGCAACAAAUAGCUCAAAUUCUAGUUCCUUCCUUCUCUCCCAUUUGUGAGUCUCUGACCUGGCAAAGGAAAGUUACCUAAAAUGUAUCUGUUCUCUCCUUUCUCCUUUUAUGUGAGCCUGAAGAUUUGAACCGUGAGCCAUCCAGAUACAGGCUGGGACUAACAUACAUGCAGACCUCCCUCCAGAAGGAAGACCAAACAGAAAACCACCAGAUCUGCUAAAUGAUAAUGUGGUUAAUGCUAAGAAGCACAUUCCCAGCAGUUAGAACAAAGGAACCUUUCCGAGUAUUGUUAAAUGACCGCCUGACCCAUGAGGCCACUUUGGGACUCUGACUGUCGUGAUUCCAGUACCCAGAAUGGACAAAACCAGAGGCCAGACCAUGAGGCCAGUUCCAUCAAGCCCGCCCUGGGCCAGCAGGAAGAUGAGCAAGACUGAGAGGAGAUUUGAUUCAAGCUGAAAGAGACCGGGGAGGUGCAGGACUUGAGGAAGAAACUAGACAUGUGAGAGCUGUGGCCCUGCAGAUGGGAGAGGGGGUACAAGUGGAGGCCAUUCUAGUGGGUGAUUUCCUUCAGAUUAAGACAGGUAGUAUGUAUAUGGGGCAGGAGGAGAAGGGCAUGGAUGGGAUCAGUAAAGAGGAAGACCUCCAGCCAAGGAUGUCAUUUUCUGAAGAAACCAACCCAGGGUAGGAAGGCAUGAGCGUGAUGAAGUACAUGGAGACAAAGACAAAGCAAAGGAAAGGGCUCCUGGACCACAGGAACAGAAAAUCAAACUGAAGAGUGCAGAGGACUGUCUCUAUGAACUUUCAGAAAACACAUGUUUGCUCCUCAAAGAAGGCCAAGGAGAUGCUUCCCACCCAAUGCUGGGUGCAUCCCAAGGUGGAUGUCUGCACUGAUGCUGAAAUAGAAUGCAUUGCCACCAAGGAAGCUAAAGCCUGGCUGCUAGCAGAGGAUCAGAAUAAGAAGAAAGACAUUGAGACAUCUUGUGUGCACCAACAUGUGUGAUUAUGUGUGGUACCACCCAUUUGAUCCCAACGGCUCAAUGCCCUCACAGAGAGAAACAAAGAAGAGUCCAAGGCCUGGCCCUAGAGUGGAUGACACCAAGAAGCCUAAGCAGUCCCUUCCAAAUCACCAGUGUCCUGCUAAAGAGAAGGCCACCGAUGCCCAUCACCAUGAAGAGUUCAAGAAAAACGAACAGUCCUGAGAGCUGCUGAAGGGAAGAUAUGCAGGAUGGGCUGUAAAUAGCACCCCUCCCCUAAUAAAAAAAGACUUCCUGGACCAAGGCCUACUGAUUGGGAGUAGCAGACAGUCCCCCAAAUCCACUCUAUUAGUCCUGCUGCUCACCUGCCUGAUUUCUCAAGCACUGGAUGUGUAAUCUUUUGAGACAAAACAAUAUUCAGUUUUCCUACUUGGAGGCAACUUCAUUCUUAGGAGCAUUGACAUAUAUUUUGUAUAUGUAUUACAUACCGUGUUCUUAUAAUGAAGCAAGCCAGAAAGUGUUAUUAAGAAAAUCACAAGGAAGAGAAGAUAUAUUUACUAUUGAUUAAGUGGAAAUGGAUCAUUACAAGUUCUUCACCCUCGUUGUCUUCGCAUUGAAUAGGCUGAGGAGGAGGAAGAAGAUAAAGAGUUGGUCUUGCUGUCUUAGGAGU